GGGCCUAUAGCUCAGUUGGCUAGAGCGCCACGUUUACACCGUGGAUGUCAGGGGUUCGAGUCCCUUUGGGCCCACAA
Molecule: transfer RNA, 77 nt
Filed under: Ancrocorticia populi
Lineage: Bacteria; Bacillati; Actinomycetota; Actinomycetes; Actinomycetales; Actinomycetaceae
Description: Actinomycetaceae bacterium sk1b4 tRNA-Val
Rfam family: tRNA
About the family: Transfer RNA (tRNA) molecules are approximately 80 nucleotides in length. Their secondary structure includes four short double-helical elements and three loops (D, anti-codon, and T loops).
Source: RNAcentral